AAGAGAGACAGGAAGUGAGCGCAGGUUCCGGUAGGGCGAGAAUCUUGCCCAGCGGCAGCUCGGGGAGCCACCUCAGCGCGACGGGAGGAGGCGAGUCCGGGAGGCACCCCCAAAGUGCCUGCGAUGGAAGCCCGGGGGUGCGCGCGGUCCCGGCGGCCGCUGCCGGCGCUGCUGCUGUUCGUGCUGCUGCCGCCGGCCGCGGGCGCUGCAGGCGCUGCAGGCGCUGCGGACGCGCGCUGGAGCGGGCAGGGCACCACCCCGCACCUGCAAAGCAUCUUCCUGGGCCGCUGCGCGGAGUACAUUGCGGUGCUGAGCCCCGAGCUGCGGGACAAGAACUGCACAGCCAUCUGGGAAGCCUUUAAACUGGUGCUGGAUAAGGAUCCCUGUUCCGUGCUUCCCUCAGAUUACGACCUUUUUAUUAACCUCUCCAGGCACUCCAUUCCCAGAGACAAGUCCCUGUUCUGGGAAAACAACCACCUCCUUGUCACCAGCUAUGCGGAGAACGGCCGCCGCUUUAUGCCACUGUGCAAUGUUCUGUAUGGCAUGGUUGGAGAUUUCUUGAGCUGGUGUCGACAGAAAAAUGCCUCUGGACUCGACUACCAAUCCUGCCCUACAUCAGAAGAUUGUGAAAACAAUCCUGUGGAUUCUUACUGGAAAAGUGCAUCCAUCCAGUAUGCAAAGGAUAGUUCUGGGGUGAUCUAUGUCAUGCUGAAUGGUUCAGAGCCAACAGGAGCCUAUCCUGUAAAAGGGUUUUUUGCAGAUUUUGAAAUUCCUCACUUACAGAAGGAUAAAAUCACACGCAUUGAGAUCUGGGUUAUGCAUGAAAUCGGCGGAUCCAAUGUAGAAUCCUGUGGAGAAGGCAGUGUGAAAAUCCUGGAAGAGAGACUGCAGAAAAUGGGUUUCCAGUAUAGCUGUAUCAACGACUACAAACCAGUGAAGCUCUUGCAGUGUGUGCAGCACAGCACUCAUCCCGACUGUGCCUUAAAUUCUUCUUCCUGUAAUUGAUGUGAGUGGCACUGCGUGAGAGCUCCCCUUUCUGACCUCCUGACUCCAUUUAAGUGGGCAGCAACAUCUACUCAAAGAGAAGCCCUGUCCCUUUAUGCAGAACAAAGUGCCAGCUUUGUCUUUCCUCUCUUAGUGGCUUUGGCUUCAGUUGCUCAGAUGUAACUAGGAACUCAGCUGUGUUGCCCUAAGCAGCCUGGAGUCCUGAAACCUGCCCUUGCCCAGUCAUCCUUCUUGUUCUGUGUACACCAGGUGACUCCAUUGUCUAAAGAAGCUUCCUGCUGGGAAAACAAUGUCCUGAAAUGGGUUUUGAAUGAUAUACAUGGUCAGGAUUUCAGAAAUUAAGCUAGUUCUAUUUAACCGGUUAAAACUACUGCAUUAACAAUUUGAUUGACAUAUAUACACUACUAUGUAUAAAAUAGAUAACUAAUGAGAACCUAUUGUACAGCACAGGGAAAAAAAACUACUGCAUUAGAAUUAAAGCUAGUUAUUAUUUUCUUAUUUUCAUAAUGAUACAACAUAUUGAGACAGACUGUUAGUUAUAUAAGCAAACGUUUUAAGAAAAUUUUGGUAGAACUGUAUAUAUAUAUUUUUAUAUUUUCUUAUACAACAGCAGGGCACACUGCAUGUUUGUUGAUAGCUUCAAAUAUAUGUAUACUAUAUAAGUGUAUUCAUACAUGUUUGGUAGGCAAAGAGCUAUGUAUAAUGAUGUCCAUUUAAGGGUUAUUUAUAAUGAGGGGGAACUAAACAUUCUACUAAUAGGGAACUCUUUGCAUAUGUUUUGGUAUAUCUGUAGGAUGGAAUAUCAUUCAAAUAGGAAAAGUUAUGUUUACCAGCCCAAAUGUCCUUCAUCUGGUGAAUGGAUAAACUAACCUUGGUAUAUCUAUACAGUGGAAUACUACCCAGCAAUAAAAAGUAACUAGCUAUGGGUAAAUGCAGCAGUGUGGGUGAGACUCAGCUGCAGCAUGCCAAGUGAAAGAAGCCAGACCAAAAGGCUGCAUACAGUAUAAUUCUGUUUACAGGACAUUCUGGAAAAGGUGAAACUGUGGGAAUGGAUAACUUUUUGGUGUCAGGGUUAAGACUAGGGGUAGGGGCUAACUGAAAAGGAGCAGCCUGAGGGAAUUUGAGGGGAGUGACAAGUCUGUUCUGGAUCAAUGGCUAUGAUGGUGGUGACAGGAAUCUAUAUUUGCCAGCACUCAGAACUGUAUGCCAUAAAGUCAUUUCACUGUUUGUAAAUUAAAAAUUUUCAAAAAACAUUUUGUGACGUAGAAAAAUGCCAGCGAUCAGUGUAAGACAUAGGACAUAAAACUGUUUAUAUGAUCGAAUUGUCUAAAGUAUAAUACAAAUGUAACAUUAUGGAUGUAUGUUUGUAUUAUACGCAUAUUGUAAAUGAAGUAAAGGAAAAGAAAUAAACCCGAA
RNA transcript from Balaenoptera musculus (blue whale), 2421 nucleotides. It is a transcript of the gene named bone marrow stromal cell antigen 1, with no coding region annotated. NCBI's taxonomy places the organism in Eukaryota, Metazoa, Chordata, Mammalia, Artiodactyla, Balaenopteridae. The transcript has 10 exons. The record is from RefSeq and is a predicted model, not a curated record.